AUUGAACGCUGGCGGCAUGCCUUACACAUGCAAGUCGAACGGUAACGGGCCUUCGGGUGCCGACGAGUGGCGAACGGGUGAGUAAUACAUCGGAACGUGCCCGAUCGUGGGGGAUAACGAGGCGAAAGCUUUGCUAAUACCGCAUACGAUCUACGGAUGAAAGCAGGGGACCGCAAGGCCUUGCGCGGACGGAGCGGCCGAUGGCAGAUUAGGUAGUUGGUGGGAUAAAAGCUUAUCAAGCCGACGAUCUGUAGCUGGUCUGAGAGGAUGAUCAGCCACACUGGGACUGAGACACGGCCCAGACUCCUACGGGAGGCAGCAGUGGGGAAUUUUGGACAAUGGGCGCAAGCCUGAUCCAGCCAUGCCGCGUGCAGGAUGAAGGCCUUCGGGUUGUAAACUGCUUUUGUACGGAACGAAAAGCCUUCUUUUAAUACAGGAGGGUCAUGACGGUACCGUAAGAAUAAGCACCGGCUAACUACGUG
Molecule: ribosomal RNA, 482 nt
Filed under: uncultured bacterium
Lineage: Bacteria
Description: partial 16S ribosomal RNA
Rfam family: Bacterial small subunit ribosomal RNA
Source: RNAcentral